Mauremys reevesii (Reeves's turtle) is the source of this 656-nucleotide long non-coding RNA. RefSeq lists it as uncharacterized. The transcript has 3 exons. The record is from RefSeq and is a predicted model, not a curated record. Lineage: Eukaryota; Metazoa; Chordata; Testudines; Geoemydidae.
CACCCAGGACCAUGUUCCCAAGCUGUGGCACCUCCUAAAGAGGUGCUGGGAGCAUCACAUUAGGCUGAAUACAGAUGAGCUGACGCCAGCGCCGUAACAAGGGCGAGGCGAGUGAGGCACUUGCCUCGGGCACGGAAAGCCGAGGGGCGCAGGGCAGCUGCUGGCUCUAUGGCAACCAGAGACGCUGGCCAGCAGAGGGCUGAAGGCGAGCAGCCAGCUGCAGCACAUCAGGAGUGGGAGGACGGAGGCACACACCCUCCCCUCCCCUGGCACCCACCUGGAGGAGAUGCCGAGGGGGCUUCCGGUGGGAGACAGGAUCAUCGGCAGUGGACCUCACUCACCUGAGCAGCUGCUGGGGCUUCGGGCCCAAAUGAUAACCCAGCACAGGGACUGAUGGGCCAGAGAACCAAAACUCUGCUUCCCAUGAGGGGGUCGUCUGUGGCAGCCCAGUGGUGGAAAUACAGACAAGACACAGACAGAGUUAAGAGAAAACCAAGCUAAGCAAGCAGCCCACCACAACAAAGGAGCCAAGGACCUGAAGCCACUAUGCACAGUCUAAUUGUAUCAGGCAGAUGUUACCGAAUGAAUCAGUCACUGGCUAUAGAAAGUUGUCCUUUAAGAAAGAUGGGGCCAAAGAUUUGAAUGCGUAAGAAGAC